Molecule: ribosomal RNA, 253 nt
Filed under: uncultured bacterium
Lineage: Bacteria
Description: partial 16S ribosomal RNA
Rfam family: Bacterial small subunit ribosomal RNA
Source: RNAcentral
UACAGAGGGUGCAAGCGUUGUUCGGAAUUAUUGGGCGUAAAGCGCGUGUAGGCGGCCUUGUAAGUUGGGUGUGAAAGCCCUCGGCUCAACCGAGGAAGUGCGCCCAAAACUGCUUGGCUUGAGUACCGGAGAGGAUGGUGGAAUUCCCGGUGUAGAGGUGAAAUUCGUAGAUAUCGGGAGGAACACCAGUGGCGAAGGCGACCAUCUGGACGGAUACUGACGCUGAGACGCGAAAGCGUGGGUAGCAAACAGG